ACCAGGUGUAGUGCAGCACACCUGUAAUCCCAGUGGCUGGGGAGGCUGAAGCAGAAGGAUCACAAGUUUGAGGGCAGCCUCAGCAACUUAGCAAGGCCCUAAGCAACUUAGUGAGACCCUGUCUCUA
RNAcentral lists this small RNA (127 nucleotides) under Marmota monax (woodchuck). The record is from RNAcentral. Lineage: Eukaryota; Metazoa; Chordata; Mammalia; Rodentia; Sciuridae.